GGAAUUGUUCGCAAUGGGCGCAAGCCUGACGACGCAACGCCGCGUGGAGGAUGAAGACCUUCGGGUCGUAAACUCCUUUCGAUCGAGACGAACGGCCUCCGGGUGAACACUCCGGAGGAGUGACGGUACCGGGAGAAGAAGCCCCGGCUAACUCCGUGCAAGCAGCCGCGGUAAUACGGGGGGGGCAAGCGUUGUUCGGAAUUACUGGGCGUAAAGGGCUCGUAGGCGGCCAAUUAAGUCAGACGUGAAAUCCCUCGGCUCAACCGGGGAACUGCGUCUGAUACUGGAUGGCUUGAGUUUGGGAGAGGGAUGCGGAAUUCCAGGUGUAGCGGUGAAAUGCGUAGAUAUCUGGAGGAACACCGGCGGCGAAGGCGGCAUCCUGGACCAACACUGACGCUGAGGGAGCGAAAGCCAGGGGAGCAAAC
This 425-nucleotide ribosomal RNA is filed under the name uncultured bacterium. RNAcentral describes it as "bacterial SSU rRNA". It matches the Rfam family "Bacterial small subunit ribosomal RNA", at positions 358 to 773 of the family's 1533-position model. The record is from RNAcentral.